GUUUUCUUGCUCUGAGGCUAUAGUGUUAAGCUUAGUUUCUGAACAACUGAACCACACACACACACACACACACACACACACACACACACACUUGCCCUUGCUGUCUGUAAGACCUCAGCUCGACUCGGCUCUCGCCUCACUGGGCCUCUGGGAUCUUGGCCUUUGCAUUCCAGUGCUGGUCUGAGGGGCUGCGUCUCAUAUUCAAGAGGGAGGAAGUUUCUGCAGGGCAGGGAUUAUGCGCACUUUCUUUGCAUUGCAACCCCCCUACAAUCCCUCCCUCUCUCUCUCUCUCUCUCUCUCCCUCCCUCCCUUCCUCACUCCCUUAUUCCCUCUCUUCGGUCUGCUGCUUCCAUAAACCGAGCCUGCACUGAAAAUCCAGACCUGAACCACCUCCUCAGGUGGACUCAGCUUUUCAGCCUUUGUUCCAGCUGGAUCCCCCCCCACCCCACUACCACCACCACCCCUCCUUUCUCCCCUCUUCUUCACUCCCUGGCUUUCAGGGGUUGCUUUUCUCUUUUUUUUGCCUCACGUCAUGUGGUAAAGGCUUAGGGAUUCUCAUUGGAGAGGAGGACAGGGAAGCAGUCGAGCUGCACAGUGCCGAAGCCGGUGCUCUGGCGCGUGCUCUUUCACGCUCGUGGAUGGAGAACACCAUGAGUUUCCUCCAUCUCAUCCAACUUUCACCAGAUUCUACAGCCAGCCGAGGCGUGAAAAACGAAAGACUUAAAGGAUGCUUAUUCUCAUGCAGCACUUGUACAGUAUUUUAGUUGAGGUUGAAGAGAUGAUAAAGAGACCAAGGCGAGAUUGUGAUAAGGAAGCCAGCGGAAUGACCUCGGUUCCUCGGUAGGGGGUACACACGAGAGAUCUUUGGGAAGUUAUACUGUAACCCAGGCGAGCUUCAAGAAAUGUUCUGAAAGCUCUGUGGAGAAGAAAUCUGCAAAAUAGAGCUGAAGUAGUCGAGAAAAGGAAUACCUCAAGCUUUGCUGACAAGUUGAAAAGGACACGUGCAGUCAGAAAAGUUCAGAAUCUUGUGAAUCAUGUUACGAAAAGAAGCCUGCAGGAUGUGACUGGAGAAGUUUCUAAAGAAAAUAACGCAACAGAGUACGAGAAUCUGUAACUUUUUUUUAAUUAAUGUAGGAAAAUAAAAAGGAAACUGGGAAAUGACUGGGUAAGAGACUCCAACAGGGUUAGCUGGAAGAUGAAGACAAAGAUGAAGAAGAAGAAGAAGAAGAAGAAGAACUUUCUGCUCAUAAAAAUAAAAUAAAUGUGGUCAGACAAAUGUAAGAAAAAACCUUAAGUAUAGUUUACAUAAAAAUAUGAUAUUUCUCAACAAAAUGUGAUUUUGUCUUUUAUACUAAACUGAAUUUAAAGACGUUUCUAAUGACUAUAAGAUGUCGAGCGAGCGUGAUGGAUUCACGUGGUAUUAACGUAAAGCAGUUAGAGUGUGAAAUCUCAGCAGGAUGUUGGUGCUGAUGUGAGCUAGAGAAUAACUACAGUGUUCCAUUCAGGGGAUUAAAACAUGUCUGGUAGGACAGUGCAGUGGGGAUGAGUCUGCUACUAAACCCCAGUGUUAGGGGUUUGAUUCUCAGCUCAGGUGUGAACUCCGGGAUUGAAUUUCAAAAUCUAUUUUCUAAUAGUGUAUGAGAAGUAACAUAUUUCAUAACAACUCACUAAAGUCAAUCAAGCGGUUGUGUUUAGUUUCAUCAUUUGUGAGUAAAUGCGAUGAAUCUUUAUUAAACGCACACUCUGUGUAUUGAUAUAAACCUGUUCAAUAUAAAAUCUUUUCAAUAUCCUUCUGACCAAUCAGAAUGGAGAAUUCAGCAGCAGUGUGGUGAAAGUCUAGACUGAAAAUGGUUCAGUACGUGCAGUCUGUACUCAGACAAAC
Long non-coding RNA from Hemibagrus wyckioides, 1882 nucleotides. RefSeq lists it as uncharacterized. The transcript is spliced from 3 exons. Lineage: Eukaryota; Metazoa; Chordata; Actinopteri; Siluriformes; Bagridae. The record is from RefSeq and is a predicted model, not a curated record.